AUGCCCCUUGCCCACCGACACCACCUACCUCUGCCUCCGCGACCUCGCCCGGCCGCUCAGCCAACGGAGCUCGACGAAGAGCACCCCGGUAACUUGGAUGAAAAGGUCUCGGAGAGGGUUUUGUAUGAGAUUCUUAUUCAGGUAGGUCGUGUAGUAGACUUGCACAUACCCCGUGACAAGGAAACUAGUCGACCCAAACGUUUUGCUUUUGCUGAGUAUGAAAUAGAGGAGAUUGCCCAGUAUGCUGUUAGGCUGUUUUCUGGCCUUGUUCGGCUUCACAAUAGAACACUUAAAUUUGCGGCGCGUUUCUUUUUUCUCCCUGGUUAUCUAAUUUGUUGUAGUAUAGAUUGCAGUGUGUUGUUCUUAUGGUAUAGUGAGUUACAUUCUCUGAAUAGUUGA
Molecule: ribosomal RNA, 399 nt
Filed under: Triticum aestivum (bread wheat)
Lineage: Eukaryota; Viridiplantae; Streptophyta; Magnoliopsida; Poales; Poaceae
Description: partial small subunit ribosomal RNA
Source: RNAcentral